Pneumocystis murina is the source of this 81-nucleotide non-coding RNA. NCBI's taxonomy places the organism in Eukaryota, Fungi, Ascomycota, Pneumocystomycetes, Pneumocystales, Pneumocystaceae. The record is from Rfam.
GUCUACGUGCUGAAAAGGUAGCCAGGACAAACUUAAGAUUUGUUAUCUUAGGAUGUAAGAGUUCAAGUCUCUUCGUAGAUA